UGUAUCUGAAGUCUGACGAGGAUGAGAACCUCCGGGGGCAAGAGGUUCGACUCGAGCGAAGCGAGAGAACGUUGCGU
This 77-nucleotide small RNA is filed under the name Salmonella enterica subsp. enterica serovar Muenchen. Its description in RNAcentral is "partial RtT sRNA". It matches the Rfam family "RtT RNA", at positions 1 to 73 of the family's 130-position model. From Rfam's summary of the family: This family represents a bacterial cis-regulatory element known as RtT RNA. The exact function of RtT is unknown although it is thought that it may be involved in changing the cellular response in relation to amino acid starvation. The record is from RNAcentral. Lineage: Bacteria; Pseudomonadati; Pseudomonadota; Gammaproteobacteria; Enterobacterales; Enterobacteriaceae. RNAcentral also lists the same sequence under 5 other names.